This is a long non-coding RNA of Cloeon dipterum, 3487 nucleotides long. RefSeq lists it as uncharacterized. The record is from RefSeq and is a predicted model, not a curated record. Lineage: Eukaryota; Metazoa; Arthropoda; Insecta; Ephemeroptera; Baetidae. The transcript has 2 exons.
UCUUAUAUGUUUCCUUGACAACUCGAUCUGUUCUCGUCUCUCAUUUUCCUUUCUAAAUAUAGGCCGUGCACACAAUACACCCACAUGCAGCCACCGAGCUUCCUCAGCGAGUGCAUUUUAAUCGAUUUUCGCCCUGAAGAGUCUUUCUUUCCGUGGUGGCACAUUUCCAUUUUCAACAAUACAAACUCGAGAGCAAACUUCCACUCGGAAAGCGAAAGCACCGGGCCGCUUGCUUUUCAGUCGUUGCUCUGGUUUCGGUAUUAAUGAAUGCAGCAGCACAGCGGCGGCGGCCGCGGCCGCGGCGGAGGAGGAGAAGACGGAGGGGCGGCUGGGGGCCGUGCGCCUUUGAGUGAGCACCACAACAUUCAGUCGCUCACUGGCAUCAAGCGCGAUCAGCUGUUGGCCCAAACUGGCAUUUACCUGAGUCGCUGCGCCAAAGGCACCCACGCACCCGUCAAAGGCCCGCCUUAGUUAACUCCAAACCAAAAUGGCUCAUCCCUGCAGAGGAAUGAUCGCCGCCAAGAAGAUGGUGCCGGCCGUGCUGCCUCCGAGCACCCCGGCCAAGAUGUUCGCGCCGCUGAGGGGCGAGAGAGGCUCGUGGCAUCGCAUCUUCCGGCUACCGCAGCUGCUGCUGAGCACCGUCUGCUAGACCAUCAACCAACCAACCAACUCAAACACACACACACACACACAACAAGCCUAGAGAUGUAGUCCUGACAGCAGAGAGCCAGAAAAGAAAAUGAAGUUACCUCCUCAUCUUCUAAACUUUAAGCUUAAGUCGCUGAUGCGGGCGGAUUCCUCAUUGAAGCUGGAGGCGUGCGAAGAGAGAAGCAAUAAAAUCCAAAUUUUUUCACGAGAAGAGAGGUAUUUUUCAAGAGAGGAAUCAAUCGAGCGAUCGAUGUGUUGCAUUUUCUUCGGGUGAUACUUACAUGCCUUUUUUUGGCUUUCGCGUGGCACACGGCACGAAUUAUGCAAAUCGGGGUAGUUUUCACUUCUUAUUAAAAUAAAAUUUGAUUUUCUCGCACUUAAAAGGGAAAGCCCCCUCAAGUAACACAAAUCAUUAUGAUAAGUAUAGUAAAAAUUUAAGGAAUUUUUUGUUCAAAAUUUUGUAUUCCCUUCAGGGCGUUUAGAUCCCUUGAAUUGUUUUUUUUAAACUGAGUUAAAAUCCCUUUUACGCUGAAUUGCAGUUGCGUUCUUAACUCUCAAGGGAGCCAGAAAUAAAGCGAACUCAGCAAGGAUUUUGCAAUUUAAAAAUUAAAUUACGGCAAAAAAAUAUUGGAUAUAAAAACUCUCAUUUACGUUACUUUUUGGACGCUUGCUAAAUUUUGCAAGCCUCUUAUAUUUGGAAAAUGUUUCCUUUUGUUUGUCCAAUAUUGACAUGAAAUUAGAAAAACCCAAUGAAAAAACAGCUUUUUCGUAAAGUUUUCUUGCUGUAAACAUCGCUAUAACACCUCUGCAAAUGGUAGUCCAUUAUCAUAAAAAUUUAUGGCUACUCCAAUUCCCUUUUUCGUUUCAUUUAUUUUUCUUGUGAAUGCCCUCCUCAGUAUGUGCGAUUAAACUUUAAAUUUAUUCAAACAUUUAAUUAACUUUCACGUCCACCUCCUCAUUUGCUACCGACUCUUUUUUCCCCGUAAUUUCACGUGUGUGCCAUGCGUUUGCUCGCCCCGGCCCCGCCGUGCACUAUUGGUUCUAAUUAAAGACGCUCCGCCGCGUUUGCCACGUGCACGUUCGCACCCCAUUAUCUGGAGCGAACGCGUUCGAAUCCAAUAUCCGUUCAAUCAAUCGCUAAUAAAAUGCUAAUCGUGUGUGAUGCUUUUUGCCGGAAUGCUUUCGGCGCGGAUGCUGCGCUCGUGUGAUUAAACCUCCUCAAGCCUCGGCGGCAUUCCGCCCGCAAAAGCUGCUGCUGCUGCGGCAUUACUUCCAUUUGGAGGCGCGUACUCGAAUAUCAUUUCAAUGAGAAAAUGCCUAACCGCCGUGUCCUCAAAGGGCGGUUUCGUUUUCAAACUCCAGAGGCGCAGAUCUCAUUUCGCUCGUUUCACCAUAGCACCAUGUCAAUUUUAACCGAAUUACUUCUCUAAUUAAACAAUUAUCGAGAGUGCGGCAGUAUAUAGCUGUUGUAUUAUUGCGUUAUAACCGACUUUUAAAGCGAUUAGCUCCAAACCUGUGAGUAUACCCUUAGGAAUUGACAUGCAAAGCGUGCUGCGCUGCGAACAUCCGAGUCUUGUAAUAAAUAAUUGCUUUACAAGUAUGCGCGCGCCUGUAAUUGUCUGUCAAUAACGAAGCAAGAGAUAAUAAUUAAUGUGAAAGCAGAAUCGGUGUGUGGGAUAAUAAAGAACUCGUUAAGUACGUAAUCUAGGACGAAAAAUCGCUCUUGUAAAAAUUAUAGCUGUGCCGUUUGCAUAUGAGUAACUCAAGACCCAGUCUAGUCAAAGGAGGGGUGGUCACCGGUCAAGCUUGGUCAAGUCUCACAAUCAAAUAUAAAAAUUUAGUUUGAAACACAAUGAGUCUUGGAGACUAAUAAUACAAUCUUUUAGGAUAUUUUUUUUUUAAAUUUACAUUACCGAAUGGAUCAGUUCUGCUUGGGUUUUUUCGAUAGCAAUUUAAACAGGAGACUUGCUAACUGGAUCCGGUUCAAAUCCCUUUCAGACUUGCAGCAUAUCCCAACAAAAUGUAAUUAAAAUAAAACGCAAACCUAGGCCGCAAUAAUUCUCCUAGGACUGGAUGAAAGAAUGUGUUUUGUAAUGAUUUCCAAGCAUUAUUCAGCAUGAUUUGAGCGCGAGAGGCUUUUCGGAGUUGUUAUCUCAGGUUCCGUGUAUUAACGCAGCGAUGACAACCUCUAUAGGAGUCAGGAUUAUGUCUGAGCAUCAUGAUUUUCCUUUUCCACGUUGACAUAUGUUGUGUAUUUUCCCCGUACAAAAAAGCUCCGAAAGCACAUAGGACUUCAAUUUCACGCAUCUCCGCUAAAGCGAGUUGUUUUUUUUUCCACCUUUCUCUUGCUCCACCAUAUUUCACGGUUGAUUUAGUUGGUUUUCUUCCGUGGAUCGUUCGAAACCACGAAGAGUUGCUUUCAAAGAGGCUGUCUUAUCAUCUAGGGGAGUAAUUUAAAUAAUGAUAAAAUAUAAUAUAUAUCGUAUUAUAAUGUACGCGUGUAAUUCCUACCGAGAGAAAAGAAACAAUUAAAAUAUAUGUACGUGUAUCCCCAGUGAAUUGAAUCCAUUUCAUUGCAUGCACUCUUCCACUUUUGAAAAAGAUGAAAAUAAGCCUUCUUGUAUUCACUCAUUGUUCUUUUUCGUGUGUAAGAUUAUCAUUACGAGCUAUUGUAAACAUGAAAAGAAGACAAGAGGGAUAGUCAGUGUAGUCACUUUAAUUUCAUAAAAAUAAUCAAAGUGUUGAAUAUGUAAUAAGGCAUUGUCUUGUUGAAAUAAUAUAUUUAUGAUUAUAUUUUAGCUGAUGGACAAACAAUAAAGAAAAAUUGAAACACGAGUAA